UCUCUGAUAGUAUAUCGGUUAGUACACGCGCCUGUCACUGUGAUGAGCGCUUCUAUUCGCAAUUCGCGCGAAAGCUGGGUUCGACUCCCAGUCAGAGAG
Pterulicium gracile is the source of this 99-nucleotide non-coding RNA. NCBI's taxonomy places the organism in Eukaryota, Fungi, Basidiomycota, Agaricomycetes, Agaricales, Pterulaceae. The record is from the annotation of a GenBank genome assembly.